GGUGGUAUAGCUCAGUGAUAGAGCACUUGCAUGGUAUGCAUGUGGCCCUGGGUUUGAUUCCCAGCACCACAA
This 72-nucleotide transfer RNA is filed under the name Fukomys damarensis (Damara mole-rat). It matches the Rfam family "tRNA". From Rfam's summary of the family: Transfer RNA (tRNA) molecules are approximately 80 nucleotides in length. Their secondary structure includes four short double-helical elements and three loops (D, anti-codon, and T loops). The record is from Rfam by way of RNAcentral. Lineage: Eukaryota; Metazoa; Chordata; Mammalia; Rodentia; Bathyergidae.